RNAcentral lists this long non-coding RNA (2920 nucleotides) under Canis lupus familiaris (dog). RNAcentral describes it as "lncRNA (ENSCAFG00000058164.1, ENSCAFG00805012746.1, ENSCAFG00845016870.1)". Lineage: Eukaryota; Metazoa; Chordata; Mammalia; Carnivora; Canidae. The record is from RNAcentral.
AUGACAAAAUCAGAUACUCUUAAGAGUAAGUCUGAUGCUCUAAGAUAUUAGAUUGUUCUCAAAAUCGUUAGAGGGAUACUAUUUCAUUGUUUUAACAGCUUCAUUUUGUCAUGUUUACAUGCUUACACACCAGAAUAAACAAUGUUCUAUUACAUUGGAGAGUUGGUUUUUAUUCAGUUACAUGAGUCUCUCGAGUAAUGAAAACUCACCUAAGCAACAUUUAACCUAUUUCUUGGCUGAGUUUCCUGUAGUUUAGCAACUAGCAUACAAUGAAUAGCUAUUUGAUUGGCACCCAUGUGCUCCAACAAGAAUAUCUCUAAAUUCAGAGAAAUCCAAACAAAAAGAAAGUAGUUGGUUGUACCAAUACAUUAAAAAAAGAAAAAGGAUAAUAAAAUAUAUUUAGACAAAAGAGCAAAUAAAAUAUUUUUUAUCCUUGUCAAGUCAUACAGUAGGCUUUUAUGACUUUCUGCUCUUAUAUCAUAAAGGCUAUAUCACAGGUAUUCUGUUGAGAUUUGCUUUAUGACUUUCCGCUCUUAUAUCAUAAAAGCUAUAUCACAUGGUAUUCUUUUGAGAUUUGCAAAUGAUGUUCUAACAUUUUAAAUUAAUUUCUAUAAUAAAGCAUUUUAGACUUUGAGUCUUCAGAAAAAUGCUCAUUUUCCCAUUUUUUCAAUAUCUGUCAACUAAUUCCCACACAUCUAUUUUGCUCAUUACAUUACUGAUCAUCCAGAGGAAAAAAAAAUCUUUCCAGCACAGCAUUUAGCAAUAAUCAGGAGGUGUGGAGUUUUGGUAACAUACUGUAGAGUUUCUCACCAAUCUUGUUUCUUAGUUUUGUGCACACAGAGGGACUAUAUUUUCCACAAUUUUAUGUAAUUAAAUUGAUACCCUAUGACUAGUUCUGAACAGUAGAAUGUAGAGAGUAGAGUAUACCCUAUUUUGCCCAGGUCCCUAAAAUUUCCUUAAGAACUUUGGCUAGGAAACUAAUCUCUUCUUUAUGACCACAAGUAAAGGAUUUCAGAUGCCAAAGGCGCACAGUAGAAAGAUGAUGGAGUCCAGAAUGACUACUAGAUGAAAGGUUCUCAGGAAAGAUUCCUCAUUAGCAUCAGAUAGUCAAAUUAGGAGCAAAAAUUAAGAAAUAACUUUUCAUUUGAUUAAUCCACUAAAACUUGAAAACUGUUCAUUUUAGCAGCUCAUGGUAAACGCCUUCAUGAUUUUAGAGUUAAAUACAGUGAUCCUGAGGUCAAAUAUAGUUAUCAGAUCUAUACUACAGAGCAAGCUGAUAUGUAUAAAUCCUCAUUUAAUUUCAGUCAUCUCAGAUACAUUCACCUAAUGAAGCUCUAUUGAACAGAAAUGGGAUAUUAGACUCUGAUAGAUGAGUUCCACAAAAAUCUGAACAUGCAAACUAUGGAAAAUCAUAAUCCUUACUGAGACCUGAAACCCAGUUUCUUCUCUCAUUUCCAACCAAUCCAAUAAAUUACUUCUGUCUUCCACUGCCCCAGCUAUUUGGAAAGUAGAGAUACUGAUUAUUGUGAGAAAAUUUACUUAAAAAAUAUAUUUUAUUUAUUUGACAAAGAGAACCAGAGAACACAAGUGGAGGGAGCAACGGAGGGGGAGGGAGAAGCAGGCUCCCCACAGAUGCAAGGCUGGAUCCCAGGAUCCCGGGAUCAUGGCCUGAGCAGAAGGCAUCUGCUUACCCAACUGAGCCACCCAGGUGCCCCAAGUGCUAUUUUUAACAGUCAGUAUGAGGAUACACUAAAAAUAUUGGUGAUAUACUUAAAACAAGCUAUAUUUUUUUGCAUUUAAAAAAGGAAAGCAAUCAGGUAUUCUGGAGAAAGUGUAGAAAUAGCAUACAAGAAAGUUACAAAAACAUAUUUGAAGAAGGUAAAAUACGUAAUGAUUACAAAAAUUGAUGGAGUUUAGAAAGAAUAUAUUUAACUGAAAUGCUGUGAAUAUCAUACAUAGAAUGAUAGGAAUAGAAACAUUGGGUGUAUAAGAAAAAAUCUUAGUACACACUUGUUCAGCAGUAAAGUUAAUAAAUACAUACAUACAUACAAAUAAAUAUCUCCUGUAAAUAUUCUUUUUCACUUAUUAGAAUUAACCUAUAACACUCGGAAAACUAAAAUAUUACCAGAGCAUAGGUGUUUUUAACCUGGAUGAUGUGGAAGUAAAGAUAUAACUGCAAAGGCUGGGAAGUAAAAGGGAGGAGUAGAAAUAGAGAUAAGAAUAGUAUUGCUACUAUCUUCAUACUUAUAUAAAGAUGAAUCAAAUGAUUCUGGAUAAUUAACAAGCUAAUAGUUGUAAGGAGAAGUUGAUAGGUUAUUGGAAAUAAUGUAAGGGGUUCAUAGCUUCAUCUUAAUUGCUAAGAGUCAAUAGACAAUGUCUAGAAUUAAUGCAAGAAAUACUAGCAUAGGUAUGCUAUUAAACAUUAUUUAAGUAGCCAAGAAGAGAAAACAAAUGGUUAUAUAUGUUUAUUUCCCAGUAUAGGGAAAUUUGACAACAGAUUUCUGUUGUAUAUUAUUGUAUUUGGUACUUAUUUUUUUAAUUGCAUGUUUUACUUCUUUCUUUUUUAAACAAGACUUAGUAAUGACAAGAGAAGAGAAAAAAGAAGACUUAAAGAAAACUGUAGUUAUAAGAAAGUACUGACUUAUAAGCAGGUGCCAGGCAAGACAAAACAUGGCACAUGUAGAAAUCUCCAACUAACCUCUGAGUGUAGAAGGAAACACAGGUGGAUAGGUAAUCUGUGUGGGGAGAUCCUCUCCCACUUUUGCAUGACAUUUGAGUGAGCUCUGGUGGUUGAUGGAUAAAUAGAAGAGCAAACUUCUUUAAACUCUAAUUCACUAAAAGUUGCCUAUUCUUUAAGAAGCUAGUCUUGGAGAGGCAGUAGGCAAAUUUUCAUAAGAGCCAAGGAAUAUCCUGGUUAGAA